Long non-coding RNA from Planococcus citri (citrus mealybug), 3102 nucleotides. RefSeq lists it as uncharacterized. NCBI's taxonomy places the organism in Eukaryota, Metazoa, Arthropoda, Insecta, Hemiptera, Pseudococcidae. The record is from RefSeq and is a predicted model, not a curated record. The transcript is spliced from 7 exons.
UCUUCAUAAUACAGAAGCUGAAAAAGCGUAAUUACGUACAUCACAUGCAUGAUUUUAAUUAAUUCACGGUUAAAAUUCCAAAUUUCAGAUUUCCAAACAACAAAAAACGAAAAGCUUGUGUUUUGAAAUCUUGUUUACAUUGUUCGUGCUUGACCAGUUGACCAACUACCGCGCGUCGCGCGCACCCUCGCCUCACCCUUACUACAACGAAACCGUUCGUGUUCUAUUACUCCGUCCAUUCUAGUAACGUACACCGUUGAAGCUUUUACGUCGUGUGAGUUGCAGCUUGCAGUUUUGUUUUAUUUUACUCGUUAAUAUUCCGUAUUUAUUAUCAUUUUUUUAUUAAAAAGUUGCUUAUUGUGUAAAAUGUAUCCGAACACAAUCAAUUAGUUCGAAUUACGAUGUUUUUGGUAAACGCAAGUUCGUGUUGUCGGCCAUUGUUUCAUUCAAGUGUUCAAGUUAACGUCUGCAAAGUACGUCUCCGUCGUUUUAAGUGUUUGUUCGUAAAUUUCGCUAUAUUUAUGGAAUAUUUAUGGUAUUUUCUUGUGUGGCUGUAACGGCUGAUCGUAUUUAACGAGAUCGUGACUUUUGUUUCGGAAUGUCGAAUGUACUUACCUACUCGUAACGGGUUUUCUAUUUCGGAAGUAUUUUGGAUUUCGUGUUUCGUCAUUCGUGAUGUGUUUUAACCCUGGUUUAUUUACCUACGUAGGUAUUAUUUUCGCGUUUGUUGGUGAUUUGUAAAUUUCGAUUCAUCGAUUGUACGUAUUUUUGAAUCAAAUGGUGUUCUAUGCCAACGAUCAAUGAACCUUUUGUUUGCGUGUUGUGUUGUGACUUGUCUGGCGUCCAGCGGUCUGCCGUACGUCUUGCUGCAGUUGUACGUUCAUUUCUGCGUUUUCUUCCGAUUAAUCGGUUUGUAUUGCACCGAGAUCCAACUUUACGAUGAAGAAUUAUUUCGAAAUUGGAUACUGUCUACUUGAACAUACAAAUUCCAUACAUUUAGAAGUAUUGGAAGUACCUGCUUAUAAUUGGUAAAAUUAUGAGAAUUAUUUUAAGAAAAAUGCAACGUUCAUUGGAGCUGUUUCCCACACCCAUUGACAUCCUCAAGCUGAAUCACUGAUUAGGACUCCUGGAAAAUUCAAACACUUAUAUUGUGCACUAUUGAAAAUCUCAAGAUAUUACUGGUCAAGGUUUGUAUCAUACUGAGUCCCAACUUAACGAAGAAUUAUUUCGAAAUUGGAUACUGUCUACAUGAACAUGCAAAUUCCGUUUAUUUGGAAGUACCUACCUAUACCAAGGACUGUUUUCCACCCACUGACGACUGCCAUCUUCAAACUGAAUUACUGAUUCGGACUCCUGAAAAAUUCAAACACAUACUUACCUAUCAUAGUAUUGAAAAUCUCAAGAUACCAAUAAUGGUUCGCAUCGUAGCAAGUUCCAAGUAUGAUGAUUUAGAAAGAUACGAAAUGUGAUUUUUUGGCAAGUUCUUGCUCAUUUGAUAGAAUUACUACUUACAAGAUAUAAAUUUGAAGACAAAUUCAACAAACAACGAUCGUUGGUACGAGUCUAUGAAAACAGUUGGCGGGUCAAUUUUUUGAGAAAGAAUAUUUUAAAAUCGUGGAUAUUCGGUACAUAUUGCGUAGGUAUUCAAAAUGCCACAAAUAUUUGCCAACUACAUUACUCAUUUCAUUGGACAUCAUAGAUUUCUACCGUGAAGUACCAUCAUACUCUGAAAUUGGACGAUGUAAUUAAUUUUAUUUCGUAAAAAUGUUAAUAUUGUACCUAAUUUUAAAAUGUAUUUUGUAAUUUAUUUUGUCGUGCCCAAAUAAUUCUGCUUGGCAUUAUGUACCUAAACCUAUGAAAUGCAUAGUACCUAUCUUAAGUUGUAAGGGUAUCCGGAUACUUAAGUAGAUUUAAGCAGUAGGUUUUAAGCAUAGGUAAUGAUCGUAUCUAUUUCUAAGUACGUAUGUAUACCUAUCAACUGUUGGUGUAUUUGCGAUUGCAUUCAUUAUUUUUCAUGUCAUGUUUAUUGUAAUUGCAUAUUGUUAUACUAAUGUUUUUUUACAGCAUAAUUAUGAAGAUUCGUAGAUCAAGUAGAUCUAUUGAUGGCGGCAAGGUAAGUGAAUAUUGAGUUAAUUAUGAGAAUACGCGUUUGCGUUUAUUUUUAUGAAAUUUGAUUGAAAACGUUUAAUGAAAAGUUACUUUUUUGAUAUUGAAAGAUGGUGGAUAUUGAGGCUCUGAUAAAAAUAUAUUUUUACAAUCGUCUAGUCUUCUCCAAAAUUGUACAUAGCAUUGAUGUAUUUCCUGAUGAGAUAACUCCGUGUUUAAAUGAGUGUCAGAAGGCAAAAUUUUAAUUAUGUACCUACUUAAAUCAUUUUGAUGCGAUCGAAAUCGAAAAUUUUGAGUCAAUCUUUCUAGCUGAACCCUGAAUAUUUACGUUUAUUUGUAUUGUCUAGUUAGUUUAUGACAUCAACUGCGAUCUUCACGAUAUUUAUUUAUGAUGGAUUGGAAACGGAUAGAAUAGGUAACAGAAAAGUUACGGCGAUGUACUUAUAUGUAUAAAAGGAUUAUUAUCGAACGUACAAACGUACACACCUAUGUAAUUUAUUGAAAAUUAUUAUAAUCUGCAUGAAAACGAGGAUAAAGGCAGGUGGAUAAAUUUUAGCACUAAAAUAGGUAAGUCAACAUUUUCAUCCUUUUUUUUUGUAAAAGCCCCCUCCUCCCCGAAAAAUUAUACUUUAUUGAAAAUCUAAUAUUAUAUUUCGGAUGGCUUGAAGGUUUUCAUUUACGAGGGUUUUGCAUUGUUCAGAUGAAAUUUAUUAUGAACCCUUUUUUUUUGGCAAUGAACUCGAAGGUUUUGAUCUUCAAGUUCUGUUCAUUCUUAUUUGGCGAUGUAAAACUAAAAGACAGAUUGUGAAAACAUUUGUUGAAAAUUUGUGGGUUUCAAUUCAAUUUUUAGGGAAAGUGGGAAACCCAGUCCCCCUCCUCAGUACAGGAAUCUCUAAUUAGAAUGAAACUUGGUGGUUGGAAGAGGGUAUACGUAUACGUUUCUCAAAAGGAGCCUCAAGAAACCUCCAUCUCCAUUUUCCCUUCUUAAUUCAAUUC